This 253-nucleotide ribosomal RNA is filed under the name uncultured bacterium. Its description in RNAcentral is "partial 16S ribosomal RNA". It matches the Rfam family "Bacterial small subunit ribosomal RNA", at positions 524 to 776 of the family's 1533-position model. The record is from RNAcentral.
UACAGAGGGUGCAAGCGUUAAUCGGAAUUACUGGGCGUAAAGCGUGCGUAGACGGUUAUGUAAGUCAGAUGUGAAAGCCCCGGGCUCAACCUGGGAAUUGCAUUUGAGACUGUGUAGCUAGGGUGCGGAAGAGGGAAGCGGAAUUUCCGGUGUAGCGGUGAAAUGCGUAGAUAUCAGGAGGAACACCGGUGGCGAAGGCGGAUCUCUGGGCCGAUACUGACGCUGAGGAGCGAAAGCGUGGGGAGCGAACAGG